GAUGAACCUCAGCAGGUGGAGCAAUCAGUCUGCUGCUGCAAACGACGACACAUUUGUUUCGAAUCUUUCAUGAAAUAACUCGAGAAAAUCGGCGGGCGCCGGUUGCCAUGACAAUGCGUGAGCCCCGCCCACACGUCCCGUGAGGUAAGAGCGUUUGCGUGAGGAGGAGAGGUGAGCUGUGCGUUCCCGUUGGGGUUCAGAGGUCAGACCAUGGCUGAGAGCUUCCGAGGUAAAACGCUUUUGAGGUGUAGAAAAAAACUGCAUUUGCGCGCACACACACACUCGAAGGGGGGGUUGUGUGUGUGUGUGUGUGUGUGCGCGCGCGCUGCUCCAGAGGUUAGUGUGUGUGUGUGUGUUUGGAUAAAGAGUCACGUGAUGAUGAUGAUGAUGAGACAGUUUCAGACCAACACGCUCAAGUUCCACCAGUUUUUGUCCAUUAGACAUUCCCCACAUGACCACCAGGGGGCCUCACAGGAAAAAUCCACCCCAGGAAUUUUCUAUUGACUUUUUGUUUUUAGCCACUUUUUAAAAAAAUGAUUUAAUUGUAUUUAUUUUACUUUUUUGGCCACUUUUUCAAAAAUAUUUCCUUUUUUCAUUUUUUUUUUAUUUGACUUUUUUGGCCAUUUUAUUUUAAAUUAAUUUAUUUAACCAUAUUUUGUAAAAAAAAAUAUAUAUAUAUAUUGUAUAACAUUUUUUUGGGCCACUAUGCAGUGGCCAUGUCGAAUGGAAGUGGGAGGAGUCAAAGCCACAGAGCUAAUUGGCUCAACAAGUCGAAAGGGGGCGUGGUUUAUCCUGGAGUGGAUUUUUCCUUUCACAUUCAUCAUGAAAAACUGCAAGCAGAUCAUACCUUUUUUUUUUUUUUUUUU
Nerophis lumbriciformis (worm pipefish) is the source of this 866-nucleotide long non-coding RNA. RefSeq lists it as uncharacterized. The record is from RefSeq and is a predicted model, not a curated record. Lineage: Eukaryota; Metazoa; Chordata; Actinopteri; Syngnathiformes; Syngnathidae.